UGAUGGGAUAACAGUUGGAAACGACUGCUAAUACCGAAUACGCUCAUGAUGAACUUUAUGAGGAAAGGUGGCCUCUGCUUGCAAGCUAUCGCAUAGAGAUGAGUCCGCGUCCCAUUAGCUAGUUGGUGGGGUAACGGCCUACCAAGGCAACGAUGGGUAGCCGAUCUGAGAGGAUGAUCGGCCACACUGGAACUGAAACACGGUCCAG
Molecule: ribosomal RNA, 208 nt
Filed under: uncultured bacterium
Lineage: Bacteria
Description: partial 16S ribosomal RNA
Rfam family: Bacterial small subunit ribosomal RNA
Source: RNAcentral